Long non-coding RNA from Mobula hypostoma (lesser devil ray), 1190 nucleotides. RefSeq lists it as uncharacterized. Lineage: Eukaryota; Metazoa; Chordata; Chondrichthyes; Myliobatiformes; Myliobatidae. The transcript has 3 exons. The record is from RefSeq and is a predicted model, not a curated record.
GUCGAACCAGCUCUGUCUAGUUUAAUCCUUGGAUUUCCCUGAGUUGCAUUUGUCAUUGGAUGACAUUGCUUGGAAGUCUUCUCCAUUUUCUUUAAGGUACUAUAGAUACUGCUACAGAAGUACAUGACAUUUCCAGCCCCAUGAUUUGCAGUCCAAGACGAUUACAAACUGAAUAAAUUCCUUAACCAUUAAUGCUAAAUCAUUAUUAUAAUGUUCUCUUCUGACUGAGGACAUCAAUAAUACAACUAAUCGAACAUAAAUAAUUAUACAAUCUAAAAAUAUAUUAAAUUUAGUUUGUUUCCUUAAUAAUGAUGUCAAUGUCCUCUGAUGCCCAUGGAUUGGAGAAGAACUCAAGCAUUCCAACUGACACUGGUUGACACCUCUCUUCAAUAUACUGCACUGAUCUGUAAUUCCUUUCUUUCUCAGAGUCAUAGAAAAGUACAGCACAGAAACAGACUCUGUCUUAUGUUCUUAUGUCCCAUCUAGUCUUUGUUGAAUCACUUAAACUGCCUACUCCCAUUGACUUGCAUUGGGACCAUCGCCCUUCCAUCCAUGUACGUUUUACUUAUCCAAGCUUCUCUUAAGCGUUGAAAUCAAGCUCACUAUCACCAAUUGUGUUGGCAGCUCAUUCCACACUCUCACAACCCUCUGUGUGAAGAAGUCUCCCCUCAUGUUCUUCUUAAAUAUUUCAUCUUUUACCCUUAACCCAUGACGUCUGGUUGCAGUCCCACCCAACCUCAGUGGAAAAAGUCUACUUGCAUUUACCCUAUCAAUGCCCCUCACAAUUUUGUAUACCUUUAUCAAAUAUCCCCUCAGUCUUCUACGUUCCAAGGAAUGAAGUCCUAACCUAUUCAAUCUUUCCUUAUAACUCAGGCCCUCCAGUCCUGGCAACACCCUUAAAAAAUUUCUCUAUACUCUUUCAACCUUAUUUACAUCUAUCCUAUAGGUAGAUGACCUAAACUGCACAUAAUUCUCCAAAUUAGGCUUCACCAAUGUCUUAUAGAACUUCAACAUUACAUCCCAUCUCCUGUACUCAAUACUUGGAUUUAUGAAGACUAAUGUGCCAAAAGCUUUCUUUAUGACCCUAUCUACCAGCAUCUUCACUGACUGGUCAUUUAUAAAAGCUCAAUAAUGUUCUCAAAUCCAGAUAAUUCAAUUUCAGGCCCAGUAAUAUGUGAACUUCUUUUCCA